GUCGGGUGCGGUGACGCGUGCCUGUAGUCCCAGCUACUUGGGAGGCUGAGGCUGGAGGAUCGCUUGAGCCCAGGAGUUCUGGGCUGUACUGCUCUUUGCCGAUCGGGUGUCCGCACUAAGUUCGGCAUCAAUAUGGUGACCUACCGGGAGUGGGGGACCACCAGGUUACCUAAAGAGGGGAGAACCGGCCCAGGUCGCAAACGGAGCAGGUCAAAACUCCUGUGCUGAUUAGUAGUGGGAUCACGCCUGUGAAUAGUCACUGCAGCCUGGGCAACAUAGAGAUACCCGGUUU
This is an unclassified non-coding RNA of Callithrix jacchus (white-tufted-ear marmoset), 292 nucleotides long. It matches the Rfam family "Metazoan signal recognition particle RNA". From Rfam's summary of the family: The signal recognition particle (SRP) is a universally conserved ribonucleoprotein. It is involved in the co-translational targeting of proteins to membranes. The eukaryotic SRP consists of a 300-nucleotide 7S RNA and six proteins: SRPs 72, 68, 54, 19, 14, and 9. The record is from Ensembl. Lineage: Eukaryota; Metazoa; Chordata; Mammalia; Primates; Cebidae.